UAUUAAUGAUAAUACUAAGUAACUAAACUCUUAAUAAUACCCAAUCUUAGUUACUUAGGAAAAAUGUGAAUAAGGUGCUAAUCCAUGAAAUUACACUUUACACUUUGUCUAAGUCGUUAGUGGAGCGUGUGUGGUUAACCGGCACACUAACUUGGACUUAACAAGGUAGGUAAAGGGUGACUUAAUAUUUAUCAUAGUAUCGAUGGAGCGUGUGUGGUUAACCGGCACAUCGAUUGAGGGGUAAUUUAUUAAGGGUACCAAGUGAUUUGCAUGGUUACUUCACACCUUGUUUUGUGAUCCUCGGCAUCCCAGUCACAAAACCUGAAGGGCACACUCGAGAUUGAAACAUGCCUUUGAAAAGUUCAAUGAAUCUCAAAGAUCUAGGAGUUUCAAAACCAAUUAAAACCUAAUAAUACAUUUCGUUUAUCUUGGUGGAAAUUGGUGAAUCGUCAUUCACCUACCUUCAAAUAUUUUAUAGCUUGGAUUACGGCAUACCUCUUCUAAGUUAUAAAAUAGUUUGUUGGGUCCUAGCCUUAAUAUUUCAUAUUGGGUGUCAUAUUAAGGACUUUAAAUCAACUAUCUUGAAUAUCUCCCAAAAGAUGUCUGGUUUAGACACCUAUGAUCUUCCCAAAUCUCUUGAAACAAGGUUUCCUAAUGAAGAUGAUGUCCCAUGGAUAUCAUACUUCUUCACCUCUUCAAAUUAUUCUCCCUAACCCACAAGUUCUUGAAAAGUUUAAGGUCACUCAGGCCCUAUUAGCAAGGCAAGGUCUAGGUGUGGUCACAUCUUGGAGAUGUAGUCACAUAUUGACAAGCCGGGAGAGUUGGGUGUCAAAGUCUUGAGAAAGUUGGUGGUUCAAUCACUUUCUAAGUCACAUAGUGAGUUCCUUUGGGACACCUAUGAAACAGACUAUGACAAGACCCUUAAUGAUCUUAUCUAUUUGCUAAGAUCAACUUCCUAAAACUUUAUGGACAUUGACAAUGAUGACACUUGAAAUCCAGAAAAAGCAUUCUCUUCCCAAUGGAAAGGGAUCGGCCAUAGUCAACUCGGUUGAGCAAAUGGUAAAGAGAAAAGCUAAGUCUGUGAUAGUCCCGCAUAUCAUUAUUAAAGGGUCCAUAUGUUUAUAUUGCCAAAGGAAGGGGCAUUAGUUGCGAAGCUGCCAAUUUUACCUAAGGAUGUUAAAGUCAAUAAGUUUGACCCUACUUCAGGUAAAGUCCACCAUCUACCUCUGCUAAGUUUCUAUUAUGACAUUCUUGAUACAUGAUGUGACUGGGUCACAUGUUGAUGUUUUUAAGAAUCAAAGAAAAAGUGAAGAAACUUAAAGAAAGAAUAUGUUGAAUCUGAUCACGUAGAUGGAUUUCUAUCGCAUAGUUUGAAGAUCGAAUUCUUGAGCUACUUCUUAGGAGUUAUGAGAUAUUGCUUAGGAAUAGAUAACAACAAGUUUUCAUAUGGAUUGUAAGGAUAAGUUUUUCCACAAAGUUUUNNNNNNNNNNNNNNNNNNNNNNNNNNNNNNNNNNNNNNNNNNNNNNNNNNNNNNNNNNNNNNNNNNNNNNNNNNNNNNNNNNNNNNNNNNNNNNNNNNNNNNNNNNNNNNNNNNNNNNNNNNNNNNNNNNNNNNNNNNNNNNNNNNNNNNNNNNNNNNNNNNNNNNNNNNNNNNNNNNNNNNNNNNNNNNNNNNNNNNNNNNNNNNNNNNNNNNNNNNNNNNNNNNNNNNNNNNNNNNNNNNNNNNNNNNNNNNNNNNNNNNNNNNNNNNNNNNNNNNNNNNNNNNNNNNNNNNNNNNNNNNNNNNNNNNNNNNNNNNNNNNNNNNNNNNNNNNNNNNNNNNNNNNNNNNNNNNNNNNNNNNNNNNNNNNNNNNNNNNNNNNNNNNNNNNNNNNNNNNNNNNNNNNNNNNNNNNNNNNNNNNNNNNNNNNNNNNNNNNNNNNNNNNNNNNNNNNNNNNNNNNNNNNNNNNNNNNNNNNNNNNNNNNNNNNNNNNNNNNNNNNNNNNNNNNNNNNNNNNNNNNNNNNNNNNNNNNNNNNNNNNNNNNNNNNNNAUAUGAUCAUCUUAAUGAUUAAGAGACCUUAUCGCAAUUCAUCCUCUAAGUGCAUUCUGAUAGCUAAGAAGAGGAGCUAUGAAUUGUUGAAGUGGUCAAAUCAAGAAGAUGAGUCAUACUUCGUUCCAAAACAAGUCUUAGAGUCAUACUCCAAGACUGUAAGUUGAGUGAAAUAUCUUAAAGACACGUUUAAAACACUAGUUAAAUGUCAAAGUAAAAGUUUUCUACUCUUGUACAUUUGAAAUUGGUAAGUUGUGAUAUUUUGUAUAAAACAAAGACCAACUAAGGCCAAUUGUGUGAAGUGUUUGUCUUGAUUAGAAUCCACACUAUCUCUUGAAUAUCUGACAAGAGAGUCUUAUAUGUCAAGAGGACAGUGGGAGUCUUAAAGGUCUUGAAAGUCUCAAGAACUAAUCAAGAAUAAAACCUGAAGUUCUUCACUAGCACACGACUUGAGGUUUAUAACCUAUCGUGUUGACAUAUUCUGUGCCCAUUCCAGUUAAAGUUGGCUUUGCAUAUGAGUUCUUAGAGUUCUCAAUUUGUUGCACAACAACUUGGAAGCAAUGGCAGGCCCUUGAGCUGCCAGGUGGCAAGAAAUUAAGAUUGAGUUCAGUCCAUAUGAGUUUGGAUUUGUCAUUAUCCUUGUCUUGUGACUAUGGUUUUGACAAUUCACAUGGAUAAGAACACAUACACCAUUAAAUCUAAGUGUCAUAAGGUUUCUCUCCGAUUCAUGAAAAUGAUGGUGAGGAAACACUUUCACUAAGUAGAUUUUAGCUAGAUAGCAAUUGUGAUAUUUGCAUUCUCAAAGUCGUUAGUGGAGCGUGUGUGGUUAACCGACACACUAAUAUGGACUUGUGAGAAGUGUCAAAGGUCUAAACAAUCAAGACUAUGAUUAUGACAUCCCUUUUCAUAGUUCUUAAAAAUUGUUUAGACACACUUGUGAGCUAUCUAAGAUAAGGUGUAUGAUAUUGAUAAAGUUUUAUCAAAGCAAUCUAGUAUCAGAAAUCUGAAAUUUGAUAAGAAAGUCAAUAAAGUAUUGUUUUUCUAGAAGUUCAACUGAGUUCUGAGUACAUGUCAAGGCUAGUGGGAGCAUAAGUGUUAUGCUAAUAAUCAUCAUGUUAAUGGGAGCAUGAUAAUUAUGAUAAAAAUUGCACGUUAGCAAUGUUAAUUAUAGAAAAAAAAAGGCUUCAAUUGGGAAAAAGUUGUUUUGCUAUAAUUAAGGGAGAGGAAAUUAUACUUCAUCUCAAAUCUAUAAGCUUAGAUCGUGAGGUUUUAAUCAUUUAGUCAAGGAUAUAUAUGAAUUUCAUGUUGGAAUGGCUCAACAUAAGGAAAUUCUGUAUAUGGGUCCAUUAUUUGCGUUCUAAAAUUCGAUUAUGAUUACGGCAUCCCUUUUCAUAAUCUGAAUUAUGAGAACUUGGCAAAUAGAAAUGGAAAUAUUAUAGCAAAAGACUGGUUUAGUCUUUAUGUGAGACAUCAUGAAUCGUGUCCCAUAUGCUUCGGAUAUAGGAUCGAUUACAUGUACUAUAUUCAUCCUUUCUAUAAUUUUCCAAAUGCCUAGGGAAUUAAGAAGGGAAAAGGUUUAGAACUGGAUAUGACUAAAACGAUUAAGAAAUUUUCGAGGACAAUUUAAGGUUUACCAAAGAUUGUUUGCUCAGGGACAGUUGGAAGUAUAGUGUUAAUUGUUGGAAGGACCAUAUUGACAUAUUCUGAAAAGAGGCAACUCUUGUUUUGAAGUGAUAGUCAAAAGGGAAUGUGGAAAUGAUUCCAUUAGUGUAAGUUGUUCAAUAAAUCUGUGUAAGAUUAGGAAAGUUAAUGCAAGAAGGAUGUUUCCAAGGAGUUGAUCUCCUUUGGAAUGCUCUGUAAUGUUUGUUGUCAAGUCUUUGUGAUUUUGUGCAUAAUCAUUACAAGAGAAUCAAUGCAUAUAAGUUUAGAAUCUAACANUGAAUUAAGACUGUCAUGGGUUGGCUUGUAGAGGUCUAAGGUGUUGGACAAAGGGCUACAACACUCAUGAGUGCUCAUAAGUUCUGAGUAUUGGAUUCAACCCGCGCUCAUUGGAAUCACUUCAUGGAUUUUAUCACGAGUGAUCAUGAGACGAUAAUAUCUUAUAUUCUUCAAACCUAGAGAUAUGAGUUGUUACUAUGAGUUGGUUGUACAUUGAUUGCACGAAAACGCAUUUGGUAACUCGGUGCUAUAAAACGUGCCUUUGUGUAUGAUUCAACAAGUAGUAGAACAAGCCAUAUGAGUCGAAGUUUAUCCAUUCCUUUUACCUUCGGGAUAAAAGCGAUAUCUGUGGGCCCCUCGAUGAUUUGAUGAUGACAAAUGGAAGUGCUCGGCCGGGCCAGGACUGAUUUGAUUUGUUCAAUUAGUCAGUCGUCAUAAAUCGGAAAUCGGGAAACAACAAAUGGACAGAGAGAAUGAUUAUAAUCCAUGUCUCAGUCCAUAUGAUAUCUAGAAUGGAGGAAUAUAUGAUCCCUUAUCUAAUGGACAAGUCAUUGACAAAGGUCAGAGUUCAUCUACAAGGUCAGAGUUCGACAGAAGCUUUUGAGAGCUACGAUUGCCAGUCGGUUCUUGAAGUCAUACGCAAUAAUAGUUUUAGACUUAUCCAAGUGGGAGACUGUUGGAUUAAUGUCUAAGUCCAUAACUAUAAUUGGUAAGACUUGAACCGACCCGGCAUGGUCCAUUUGGGUUGCAUGGCAUCAUGCAUUUGGAUAGACUAUAAUGAGAGAAACAACACUUAAGGAUGGUUAAUAUAUUAUAAGUUCUAAUAUAUUAAUAAGGUUAUUUAAUUAGUAUUGAUCAAGAAUUAAUUUGGAAUUAAUUAAGUGAUCAAAAGGAGACUAAUUAAAUAUAUGGGUUGAUUGUGUAAAUCAUUCAUUCUUAUAUAUGUGGGCUUGUGAUCCAAGAUUCCUUAUGUUAGACUAAGUCCAUGGGGUGACCCAUGGAUACUCCAUGGAGGUUUAAAUCCAUGGAGCAUAAGGAAUGGGUAAAGUUAUGAGUUACAUGGUUUAACCCUAAUAGCCACCAUAUAAAAGAAUCUCGUGGCUCAAGAAAUCGUGCACUAGUGUGCGAAUAUGAGGGCUAGACGAUUUCAAGGAGUGUUCCAUUUUCUCUCAAGUCAUUCCAUGUGCAUUUGGUGUUGUGUGAACCAUCUGAGGUGUCACGCUUGGGGAACUAGGCACUCAAGCUUCAUGAAGACAUUCUACAUCAAAGAGGUAUGUAAUUCUAACUUUAGAUAUCCAUAUGAAUCAAUGUUAUUUUUACUAGUUCGGAUGAAUACCUUGGAAAGUUCAUAUUUGCAUGUAUAAUAGAGAAAACAUAGAUCCAAGGUAUUUAGGGUUGCAUGUACACUUAGGAGUGUUAGAAUGCUCAAAACCCAACAAAAACUUCCUUAAAUCCUCAGUUUGAGUUCAGAUACGCCCGAAGGUGCAUUCGAAUCCCUCAAAGCAAGGCUCUGAUACCAACUUGUAACAACGUAAAUUUUCAAAAUAAUUUUUCAUUUUUAAAAUCAUACUUUCAUUCAUAAAAUAUCAUAAAAACAUCCAUUAUAUCACAUGUUAUCAAAUUAGACAAAUUCUAGGAUUACAAUACAUAAAUCUUCUCUGUGUGUACGGAUCAUGUCAGUGCCUUCCCACUAUCCUUACUAGUACCAGAAACACAUAUCACGUCAAACGGUAAGCAUAAAUGCUUAGUGAGUUCCCCAAAAUACCACAUACACACAUACAUCGCUCAAGGCUAUAAGACCUUCCGGUCAAUGUGUCUCAGGGGACUUCCGUCCCACAACCUUGGUAAACCUUUCGGGCCUACCCGUAAUGACCUUCCGGUCCAUAUCAUUCAUAACAUACAUAACACACACACACACACACACACACACACAUAUAUAUAUAUAUAUAUAUAUAUAACAUAACAGAAAACAUCACAUACUACUCAUAGCACAUAAGACCUUCCGGUCAUACGUAAUUACCACUCUAGGUAAAGUAUAGUGAGAAGACUCACCUCAUACGAUAUCAAAUAACCUCCCGUGCUUGAAUACCCAGUCUAGCCUCCUCCUAUAAUAAUGAUAACAUCUCUAAUCAAUACUUACUCUUGUCCUUAUUCUUAGGAGUGGGUAGAAGACCAUUCUACCCCUCUCUGCCCUCUCUUCUAGAAUCAGUUGACCAAAAUCCUAAAGUCAACUCAAGUCAAUGGUCAACUUUGACAAGACUCGUCGAGUGCACAAAUGUGACUCGGAGAGUCCAGGCGUCCUCUGAACCUUCAUUGAUCCUUACUCGGCUUGUUGAGUUAACCCUUCACUCGAUGGGCUACCACUGGUCACGAGUCGAGGGGCAACCCGACUCGACUCAUCGCGUCCCCAUAUGAACUCGGCGAGUUCCUUCCAUGACGACACCCAAACAAACUUAUAAGGUUAGAUCAGCUUCUUUAACCUAUAGAUCUGACUUCCCCAUGUCCAUUAAUCACGUAAAUGUCAAGUCUUGACACUCAUGCAACGCCUACAAGGCUUCUUUUGGUGAAAUGACUUCUAAAAUGGGAACCCAAGUCCAUAACUCAAAAAGGAAAGCAUAAAGCAGGGUGGUUGGGACUCUCUGGACCUCUGAAGGUCCAGAUCUAAGAAGCAUUCCACAUUGGGACCUUACAUACUUCGAAAUCAAGCUAAAGAAGGCAUAAGCAAAACCCUAGAUUCACAACAAUCACCAUAAACACAAGAUUGAGCAUAAAUUAGUACCUCUAACAGCCUCCUCUGACCAAAUGGAAGUAGAUCUAAGCUCCACAACCCUCCUAGCUUGCCCUCCUUUCUUUUUUCUUGCAAAAACACACUAGAAAUGGUGAAUAAGGCCUCCUUUAUCACUCACAAGCUCUUUGGUUCUUUGGGUGCUCUAAAGGGUGAAUAUGGCCGCAAAUGAGGGCUAUAAGGUCCCUUAAAUAGGUCUCAGGCCCAUGCAAUUAGGGUUUCUGACCUCAUCGCGGACUCGUCGAGUCCACCCCUUCCGACUUGUCGAGUCUAUUCAUUAAUCCAGUCAGCAAAUCGCGAUCCUACUCGACGAUUCUUGCCCUCGACUCGUCGAUUCCCUCCUCUUUAUACAAAAUAAAUAAUAAAAAUACUAACCUGGAAAUCUGGAUGUUACAAGUUUUAAUUUUAUUUAUUUAAAAAUAUCCUUACAGUGGCAUUUGUGAAGAACUGUUGUGUAUAUGGUUCCAUUGAUAGCAAUAAUGGAAAUAUGAAUUUGAUUCUUUCAUUUGUGGUAGUGUCUAAAUUUACCAAAUAAGGAAAGAUUCUCAUCACCCAAGUUUCAAUUGGACCAAAACUUGGAAUCAUGCAAGUUGUAUAGUAUGAUGUAUGAGAAUUUUCAGCUUUGGGAAAUUAAGACUAAUUCCUUGAUCAUAUAUAUAUAUANGUUGUUUAUAUAUAUAUAUAUAUAUAUAUAUAUAUAUAUAUAUAUAUAUAUAUAUGUGUGUGUGUGUGUGUGUGUAUGUGUGUGUGUGUGAGUCAAGUGAAGGAUUAAUGGAUCGGGUACACUUGAGUGUGCGCUGGUCAAAGUCCACCACAAAAGAUCGAUAAGACUAUUCGUCAUGAUUUACUAAUGUUUAUUAAAUAUGAUUAUACUUACUAGUUUAAGUAUAAUUAUGAAACAUUGAAAAAGUUUCAAUGUGUGGCAGAACGAAUGAGAAGAAUCAAAUUUGGCAGACAGAUAAAAGUUUCUCAAAUCUGAAAAGAUGGGAGAGUACUUUAACAUCAUCUUUUAUGAUCAUCUUAAUGAUUGUGAGACCAUAUCAUAAUUUAUCCUCUAAGGACAUCUUAGUGCAUUCUUAUGGCUAAGCAGAGGAGUCAUGAAUUGUUGAAGUGGUUAAAUCAAAAAAGAUGAAUCAUACUUCAUUCCAAAACAAUUCUUGGAGUCAUACUCCAAGAUUGUAAUGUGAGUGACAUAUCUUAAAGAAGGUUUAUAACACUUGUCAAAUGUAAGAGUAAAAUGUGCUCUACUUUUGUACAUUUGAAAUUGGUAAGUUGUGAUGUUUUGGAUAAAACAAAGACCAACUAAGACCAAUUGUAUGAAGUGUUAUCUUGAUAAGAAUCCACACUAACUCUUGAAUAUUUGCUUUGUCAAGGAAUGGUUCUUGACAAGAGAGUCUUAUAUGUCAAGAGGACAGUGGGAGUCUAAAAAUAGUUUCAAGAACUAAUCAAGAAUAAAACAUAUAGUUUAUCACUAGCACAUGACUUGAGGUUUAUAACCUAUCGUGUUGACAUAUUCUUAUUUCUGUGCCCAUUCCACUUAAAGUUGGCUUUGCACAUGAGUUCUGAGAGUUCUCAGCUGGUUGCAUAAUUACUCGGAAGCAAUGGUAGGCCCUAGUGCUACCAGGUGGCAAGAAAUUAAGAUUGAGUUCAAUCCAUAUGAGUUUGACUUUGUCACUAACCUUGUCUUGUGAUCAUGGUUUUGAAAAAUUCACAUGGAUAGGAACACAUACACCAUAAAAUCUAAGUGUCAUAAGGAUUCUCUCCGAUUCAUGAAAAUGAUGGUGAGGAAACGCUUUCACUAAGUAGAUUUUAAGUCGAUAGCAAUUGUGAUAUUUGCAUUCUCAAAGUGGUUAGUGGAGUGUGUGUGGUUAACCGGCACACUAACAUGGACUUGUGAGAAUGGCAAAGGUCUGAACAAUUGAGACUAUGAUUACGACAUCCCUUUUCAUAGUUCUAAAAUUGUUUAGACACACAUGUGAGCUAUCUAAGGAAAGGUGUAUGAUUUUAUCAAAGCAUCUCGUAUCAGAAAUCUGAACUUUAGUAAGAAAGUCAAUAAAGUAUUGAUUUCUAGAAGUCCAGCUGAUUUAUGAGUACAUGUCAAAGCUAGUGGGAGCAUAAGUUUUAUGCUAAUAAUCAUCAUGUUAGUGGGAGCAUGAAAAUUAUGAUAAGUGUUGCAAGUUAGCAAUGUUAAUUAUAGAAAAACAAAAAGUUCAAUUGGGAAAAGUUGUUUUGCUAUAAUUAAGGGAGAGGAAAUUAUACUUCAUUUCAAUUCUAAAAGCUUAGAUUGAGGUUUUAAUCAUCUUUAGUCAAUGAUAUAUAUAUAUAUAUAUAUAUAUAUAUAUGAAUUUUAUGUUGGAAUGGCACAACGUAAAGAAAUUCUAUAUAUAGGUUCAUUAUUUGCGUUCUAGAAUUCGAUUAUGAUUACGGCAUACCUUUUCAUUAUCUGAAUUAUGAGAACUUGGCAAAUAGGAAUAGAAAUAGUAUAGAAAAAAUAUUGGUUUGGUAUCAUGUCUUUAUGUGAGACAUCAUGAAUCAUGUCCCAUAUGCUUCGAAUAUAGGAUCGAUUGCAUGUGCUAUAAUAUUCAUCCUUUAUAAAUUUUCAAACUGCUCAAGGCAUUAAGAGGGGAAAAAUCCAGAAUUAGAUAUGACUAAAAUGAUUAAGCAAUUUUCAAGGAUAAUCUAAGGUUUACCAAAGAUUGGUUGCUCAUGGACAGCUGGAAGUGUGGUGUAAAUUUUUGGAAAGGACCAUAUUGACAUAUUCUGAAAAGAGGCAACUCUUGUUCAGAAAUAAUAGUCAAAAUGGGAAUAUGUAAAUGUUUCCAUAGGUGUAAGUUAUUCAAUCUGUGUUAGAUGAGAAAACUUAAUGCAAGAAGGAUGUUCAUAGCAAUGUACUUUGAAUCUGAGAGUCCGUUUCCAUGGAAUAAUCUCCAUUGGAAUACUAUGUACUGUAUGUUGACAAGUUUUUGUGACUUUGUGCAUAAUCAUUACAAGAGGAUCAAUGCAUAUAAGUUUAGAAUCUAACAUAUUUCAGUAAAUGGCAGGAAUUUGGAAUUCUUGCGUUUGCGGUAAGGAUUUGGGACUGUGAAAUGAGAAUCAUUUGAAUUAUGUUCAAUCAAUCUAUUUCACAAAGUAAAGAUCAUAGACAAACUUAGUGUGCAUACUUGGUGUAUGGCAUAACUAAUGUUUAGACAAACAUAGUGUGCAUACUUGGUGUAUGGCAUGACUAGUGUUUAGAAAACAUAGUGUACAUGCUUGGAGCAUGGGACAACUAUUGUUUUAAUUCAAGUAUAAAGUUGAUAGUUUGAAACAGUAUGCAAUGAAUAAUGUGUAAUCAAUAUUGUGAUAAUAAAUUUGUUCUGUUUAUAUUCAUAAGUUCUGAGACCAUAUUGGAUUCGAUUACUCUCGUGUUUCACUUUGCAUGUUUUGACUUCUAGAAUAACUAGUUCGCUCUUCCUGAAUGACUAAGUUAUUCAAACCAUCCACCGUCGGUCAUAUGUUGGAAGUAGAUAUGAAUCAAGACUGUCAUGAAGCUGGUUUGUAGAUGUCCAAGGUAUUGGACAUAGCAAGAGUUGUUGCAACAUUCAUGAGUGCUCAUAAGUACUGAGUAUUGGAUUAAACCCACGCUCAUUUGACUCACUUCAUGGAUUUUAUCACGAGUGAUCAUGAGACAAUAAUAUCUUAUAUUCUUGAAACCUAGAGAUAUGAGUUGUUGCCCAUGAGUUGGUUAUACAUUGAUUGUACGAAAAUGCAUUGGUAACUCGAUGUUAUAGAACGUACCUUUGUGUAUGAUUCAACAAGUAGUAGAACAAGCAUAUGAGUCGAAGUUUAUCCAUUCCUUUUACCCUUAAAGGGAUAAAAGCGAUAUCUGUGGGCCCCUCGAUGAUUUAGUGAUGACACCUUGAAGUGUUUGGCCAAGCCUGGACUGAUUUGAUUUGUUCAAUUAGUCGGUCAUCAUAAAUCGAAAAUAGAGAAACAACAAAUGGACAGAGAUAAUGAUUAUAAUCCAUGCCUCAGUCCAUACGAUAUCUAGAAUGGAGGAAUAUAUGAUCAGUUAUCUAAUGGACGCAUCAUUGAUUUGUUCAGAGUUCGACGACAGCAGCUUUCAAGAGCAUGAUUGCCAGUCAGGUUUUGAAGUCAUAUGCAAUAAUAGUUUUAGACUUAUCUAUGUGGGAGACUAUUGGAUUAGUGUCUAAGUCCAUAAUUAUAAUUGGUAUGUACUUGACCCGAUUGGCAUGGUCCAUUUGGGUUGCAUGGCAUCAGAACAAUUUGGAUAGACUUUUGGGAGAAAAUGAUAAUUAUGAUUUGUUAAUAUAUUAUAAGUUCUAAUAUAUUAAUAUGAAAUCAUAUUAUUUAAUCUGUAUUGAUCAAGAAUUAAUUUGGAAUUAAUUUUGUGAUCAAAAGAGACUAAUUAAAUAUAUGGGGAUUGAUUGUGUAAAUCAUUCAUUCUUAUAUAUGUGGGCUUAUGACCGUUGAUUCCUUAUGAUGGGUUUAACCCAUGUGGUAACCCAUGGAUACUCUAUGGAGGUUAAAACCCAUGGAGCAUGAGGAAUGGGUAAAGUUAUGAGUUACAUGGUGUAACCCUAAUAGCCACCAUAUAUAAGGACCCCAUGGCUCAAGAAAUCGGCACUAGUGUGUGUACACAUGAGGGCUAGCUGAUUUGAGCAUAGGAACCUUUUCUCUCAAGUUAUUCCAAGAUGUUGGUGAUGUUGUGUGAACCAUUUGAAGUGUCACUCUUGAGGCACUAGGCUCUUAAGCUCCAUGGAAUCAAGCUACAUGAAAAGGUAUGUCUUCUAACUUGUUUAUAUUACCCAAGUAUCAAUGAUUGUAUGCUAGUUAGGGUAAUACCUUGGAAAGUUCAAGUUUGCAUGUAUAAUAGAGAAAACAUAGAUCCAAGGUAUUUAGGGUUGCAUGUACACCAUAGGAGUGUUAGAAUGCUCAAAACUCUACAGGCAGACCCUGUGUGACUCACUAUACCACUAACUAUCACACGACUCUCCAUUGGUGCCAAAUCACACACGAAAGAGUCACACAACAAUCAAAUAAGAUAUCUCUAUAGGAACUAAGGCAUCAUAUAAUCAGGAAAUUCUAUCAUGCAAUUCCUGAAGCCCCCUAGCCUAUAACUAGCAUGUUGUUCUGUCACAUCAUAGUAUCAAAUAACAAUAUGGUAUUUUGGGGUCUACUUACUGGCUCCGGCUGAUCGUACACUUGCAUCCUCCUUUAUUGGUUGAAAAAUUAUUUUAAAAACUUUUCCUUUAUUUGAGACUGGAUUCACAUGCGUGUUCCUCCAAUUCACUCAAACCAAGGCUCCGAUACCAACUUGUAAUACCCAUAAAAAUCAAGAAAAUUUAAAACUUUUAAAACAUUUCAAACCAAUAAGUUAUUACAAUUUGUUUUCAAAAUAGUUUAAACAUCAUAAUAUCCCCAAAAUCAAUUCAUGAAAAUAUAAGGAGGCGCACGAUCAUGCCAUUUCCUUCCCGCGAUCAGUUGAAGUACCUGAAACAAUAAUCGAUUAAUGUAAGCUCAAAGGCUUAGUGAUUUACCCCCAAAAUACCAACCUCGUACAACCAUAAUCAUAUCAUAUAAACAAACAACAUGUAUCUCGAAUCUAUAGUAUGACUGGACCGAGGUGGUUUCAGUUCAUCCAAAAAGUGGAUAAAAGACAACAGGAUGUUCAGACAGGAGCAGAGAUAAGAGAAUUCUUGCGUAGAGCAGCUAGUUGACCAGGAGGUGCCAAGUCACUCACAACGGGAUUGAAUAAUCUCAGAGUGAUUGAUUUGACUCUAUGGUGCAGCUCUCAUUUGAGUCUUAAUUGUUGCAGAUAUGAAUCUUUUACUCGAAGGAUUAUCUGAUUCACAUGCUGAGAUGAGCAUUCAGCAUCUGGACAUGGUAAGAGAAAUCAUUCAGUGGAAAUGGUGCGAUGACCGGCACUGGGAGUGGUCGGGAUUGCAGCUUUAGCAAAAGGUUUAUUCUUGAUGGAGAUAUAAGAGGGUUUUUUUUGCUUAUGUACAAACACCUUGGGGAAGACCGUUGAUUGCACAGGGUAAUUGUUGAAUACCUUAGAUGUCAAGUGUGAGUACUCGGUGAGUACCGGAAGGUUUGUCAGUUGUGGUGAGAGUAAUACACGCAAGAUUUAUAGUAACUGAAGUACUCUCAAGAUUUUACCUCCAAGGAUUUUCAUCUAGCUCAAGAAGACCGGGCAAAAAUCCAAUAGAAGUGUUCCUUUCGAGGAUUGGACCGAACAGACAAAGUUAUGCUUCGUAUAGGAUUGUUGUAGGAGGUUGCAGGAUAGGUGACCAUAGCGGACUUUGAGGAUGAAGUCUAUUUAAAGCUGGGGAGAGUUGUAACACCCGAAAUCUAGAAGACUAUUUAGGAAAGAAAAACACUAAGUUAAGAAGGUCUACUCACCGAGUCCAAGGGUGACAAGUCGACGAGUAGAAGCGAGAUUAUGAUGUGGGAUGAAGGACCUACUCGACGAGUUGGUUUGGGUUUGGGAAACCCUAAAUCCAGGUUUUUGUACCCUAUUUAAGCAUCCUAUUCCCUUCAUUUCAACCCCAUUUCCAGCCUCCAUUAUCCAAACCGUAGAUCUCAAACCCUAAUGCUAUAGUGAGCCAUUCUUGAGUGUUAUUGAGUGCUUUGGAGCUUGAGGAAGUAGGAGAAGAUUGGGAAAGCAAGAAGAAGACUGUAGAUCCAGCAACACCAUCUCAUUUCCAUCAUAUUUUGGUAAUAAAGUCUUCAACUUGGCCAUUAUUUCAUUAGAUCUCUUCCCUUCUCCUUUAUGAAGGUUUUAGUCCAAGAAUGAUAGCUUUUGGGUUUGGACGUCCCAAGCAAGGAUUAUGUUAGAACAAUGUUCUAGUAUGAUCGAUAGAUUCUAAAUAGAAGAACAAGAACAAUAAUGUAAAGAACACAGAAAUGGCUCAAACGUUGUUGAAUGAUUAAAAUUUAACACCUCAGAAGAGCUCGAUUAAGAACUUCGACUGUAGAGGUGUUUAGGGUUACAAUACAGCUAUUAAUGAGAACGAUAAUCUUUACGCUAUACAUGCAUACACUAUAAAUAGCUUAACCCUAAUCAAUGAUCACGGAUGGACAGGCCCAAUCUGGAUAUACAAAAUACUAAGCCCAAUAACGCAACAUCAAAAUACCCAACAAUCUCCCCCUUUGCGUCAAUUAAGGCGAGAGCUCAAUUCAGUUGAGCAAUAGAAGAAUUCUUAAUAGUCUUGAACACCUUCGGUAUGAUGGCCAACAGAGUUUGACGGAAGUAAUAUACCACCAAAGCAUGCUCGUGAAGUUCUUCUUGUCUGACUCAUUGUUCUCCUUGCAUCGAUGAAUGAGAUUGAUAAUGUGCUCCAAGCAGUCCGUUGAGAACAGAUGUUUAUCAAAAAGAGCGAAAAGAAAUUUGUUAGCUUUGCCUCUUGUGAACAUCACAGUGAGAUGUGUAGAAUCGAUUUGACCAAUCUUCAUCUUGUUAACAUCUCCUGGCUUUGAAGUUGGCUUCACAGUUGGUCUCUUCUUCAAAACGCUAGAAACUUCCUUAUCCAUCUUCGCAACUUCAUGGACGUAGGAAGCCAACAUCCUCUUCAAAUGAUCUUGGAUCGGCUCAUACUCCUUUGCAUUUUUAGUAGAAUAUUAUAAAGUAAGAUCCAAUCAUGAGGAUUUAAGUUUGGAAGAUCUACCAUGGAAAUCAUGGAAACCAAGUUGCCUGAACCUCGGGUUAUUUUGAAUUGAACGUUAACAAAUUUCCCUGCAGGAGAGGGUUUCAGCACCUUGACAGUUGAAAUUUUCUAUGCACUCCAAGUCAGAUACUGAGGUUGACCAAACUGGAGAUAGUAGUCAUUGAGUUCACGAUCAACUUUAGGGUGUUGUGAGGGAACUUUAACUGUUGAGUCAAAACAGUGAAAAACAAAAGCCUUUCGUGUUAUAGGCAUAUCGAACUGCGAGUCCCCCGAAUUCUCACAAUCAAACGAAGCGAUAGGUUCUAGCCAAUAAGUACUUGGAAACUCUAUUGCUUCUUUGAUUAACCCUUCUCUCGUCCAUGGGGGAAAGAGUGCCUGCUUACGGACAAGAGCAUCAUGCUCUUCUUUCUUCUUUCGUUCCCUCUCCUCUUCUUCUCUUGCAACCCGAAGGUUUGCAUCUAACUCUUGAUCCCUUUUCUUUCAUUUUAGGACCUCAGCAAUCGUCUCUUGAUCUUCUUCACUGUCAUCAUUUUCAUCAGAAACGCCUUUCUUUUUUUCUUGACCACCAGAACCUGAAGCUACAUUAACCUCCGGUUCAGUUUUGAUGAUGACCUUGGGAGGAACAAGAGGAGUCUUCACAGAACCUUCUCCCCCUUUUUGUGGAGUGACUAUCGGCUCCAUAACACCCUUCAUCUGGCUUAAGAAUUCAAUCGACGGAAGAAGUUUGGAAGUCAAAUGAUUCCUGAUUGUGAGAGUAAGAGUGGGAUCAUGAGCAUGAAGAACAUUACUCAAUAGAGUAAGAACAUGAGCGACACAACUUUUUAGAACUGAACGCUCAGUCUUCAGUGAAGCAAUCUCCUUAUUCGCCUGAGAAAGUUGAACUUUCUGGACUUCAAUCUGAGUAGUUUUGCGAGCCAGAUCAUCCAUUAUCCUUUUUUCCAUCGCCAAAUCAGCGUGAAGCUUUUCUAAUCAAGAGUCAACCAACGAUAGAAGUGACUUGUUAUCAGCUUGAAUAUCAGAACGAAUAUUCUCAAAUUUGGCUUGCUCUUCUUGAAGGGACCGAGAAAGAGAGUCAAUCGAGGCAUUCACCUUAGUAGCAUUCGAAUCAGCAUGACCUUUAAAGGAUUAUAAGAAUAUCUUGGAAUCAUGAAGAAGGUCUGUAACUUUGGUAGUAGCCUGCUUACAUAAAGAAGUAGAGGCAUCCACAGCAACUGUUGAUUUCUCAAUGGAUUCAUGGUAUUGCUGAAGAUCUAUGUCUAGAAAAGCUUUCAUCACCACAUCAUUAUACUUUUUUGAUGAUUCAAUCAAGGUAUCUAGCUUGUCAUCAAGACGAUCCAGAUGUUGCUUAGUCAUAGGAGCUACAUCAUCAUCAUCGCUUGGAAGUCUGUAAGGACUAUAAUAAGUAGAAUCGAACUCAACAUUUUCUCCACCAAGAAUUGGAGCAGACUCACUCGAAGGUGUUGGUGAAAAAAGUUCGGUUGUAACAAGAGGUUCGUUUCCAGUAAUCUCCCCCGUAUCAGAUACGUUGACUGUUACUGGAGGUUCGGUUGCGGUUGUGGUGAUUGGUGUAGUUGUGGUAGUUGCUUGUGAAAGAAUAGGAGGUGGUAAUGGGUCAGUUGAAAUUGGUGUUGUGCUAUCAGGUGGUGGUGGUGGUGGUGGAGUGGUAGAAGUAGGUUGUGUUGUGGGAAUUGAUGGAAUUGGAGCAACCGAAACUGGAAUAGUAGACUUCGGUGGGGAUGGAGGAAGAGUGGGAAUUAUGUCGUUAAGUUGUUCAGUUGUAGUUGGAGAAUGAGGAGGUGUAUUACCUCUUGGUGAACCUUCAUGCUAAACUUCUUCUUCCUCAUCAGCAGACUGUUCCUCAUCAUGAUCAGAGCUAGAAGGGGAAGGAAGCUUUCGUCUCCUUGCCAUCUUCUUGAAUUUCUUUGGAGCCGAAGAAGCAGCUUUUUCAACUUUUCGCUUCUUAGACUUGACAGUCUUAGUUGAAGGCCCGUCAGUUUCCACCUUCUUGGUAUCAGCCUUCUUCCCUCGCUUUACUGGCUUCUCAACAGCAUCCAAUGUAGCUUGCAUUUUAGGAGUUAAUUGUUGUGGACCCUUGGGAGGAAGCUUCCGAUACUCGGCCAUCACUUUACUUUCUCUUGAAACACAUCUGUACAUUGUUUCAGGUAUUGAACCGUUGAAGGAAAACUUGGUUGCAUCAGUGAAGAUAAUCUUUUUGGUGUGAAAAGUAGCCACAGAGGAAAGCAUAGCAUUGGUCAUAACCGAAAUCUGAAAAUAUUCAAUGGCCCUACGAGUGACUAUGGUCCAAAAACAACUAUAGGAAAUCUCCGAAUGUCUGAUGGAGGAGUUGAGACUUUGCACCAAUUUUGACCAAAUAAGAGAAAAAUAAUCCAGGUUAAUUCCAUUAUAGAGACCAUAGAGAAUGGUCAUAAAACAUUUACUAGUCCCAUCUGACCCAGCUACCCAUUCUGCCAAACCCUUGUUGAUAAGAGUAAGUAAUCCCUUCCAUUGCGGUGACAAACAGGACUUCUUGAAUUUAGUCACUGUGAUGAGAACACCAGUAUAACCCAUCUCGUAGAACAUCGAGAAUAAUUGUGUCGUGGUGAUGAAAUCAGGAGAGAUAACAGACGCAUCAGCUGCAAGCCCUAGCAAUGAACUGAAGCGGGCUUUGGGAACGGAGGUCUUGUGAUUAAAGAUCUCAAAGUAGAUGUGUUCAUUGUUCUUAUCAUAAGAAGCAGAAGUAUAGACAUGUGAUAAUAAGGACAUCGACACUGAUUCGACUUACGUAAGAGCAAUCACCAAUGGAGAAUACUUGAGCACCUCGACCACAUGUAGCAUGUACACAUCAUACAGGAAAGGGUUCAAUUGUAUGAUAAGAUUCUGGUUGGGUUUGAUAGGAAGAAAGUUUGAAGAAGCUGUCUGAUCUUGCAUAGAAGAUGAUUCCGCCAUUGUUGUGGUAAAGAAGAUGAUGAACAGUAGAAAAUCGUCUGUUGUAUUCAAUAGGGAAAUCGAAGAAGGUAAGGAGGUAAAAUAGGUGUGAGAAACCCUUUAUAUACCGUUGCCAGCAGAGAGAAAGAAUUUUCUGUGAUGAUGAUACAAUCUCUGAAACGUCACCUGAAAAACCGCGAUUUGACAACUUGGUUUCCCCAGAUAGACGUCAUCAAGCGUGGGUUUAGGAACCGUUUCAAAUUCACGCGCCCAAUUUAAUGUUUAUCCGAUGACUCGGUUCGAAUUCUUAUCCACAUAUCGUCUCUUCAAAAACAAUCCGCAACUUGCAAUACUAGGAGUGUCAAACAGGAUGCAUUCUUUCGCUUCAAAGUAACCACUUUCGCUCCAUACUACAUAGAAACACCAGUUUUGUCAGAUCCUUAAACAUAAAACUGAAAUGAGCCAUUAGUACCAUCAACAAGAGUUUUGGAAAAUCACAAAGAAUUUUCGUGCAAGAGUGUGCCAAAGAUAAAGAAAUAAAGCAAAAUGUGUAUAGGAUGUAAGUGAAGUCUUAAUAAGACAUGAAGCAGGUGAUUCCGGGCAUGAAUCUCUUCCUUCAAAGUCAAGAGAGACUUGAAGUGAUUGUGUGGUUCCCCGAUAAAAUACAAUCGAGUGUCUAUUAAUAAACAUCGAAAAGCUUCUUUUCAAAUAUUGGCUUUAAAAGGGUGGCUUAUCUUCAACCGAACUUCGAUACUUAAUAUAAGACCGAAAGUUGGAUGAAGUACUUGUGAGACCGAUGUGGUCUGUUGAACACGUAGGUUGGAUAUAGUGUGUAUUGACAGGAUGUAUAAUAGAAAUCUCAAAAACAAAAACUAAACUAGAUCUUUUGGAAAGAAAUGCCUUGAUGUUAGACAAUUUCAUAAAGAUCACUCAAAAAUAAAAUGAGACUUCAUAAGGUAACAAGUAAUAACUUGAAUAGUAAAUAUUCACCAUCAAUUCAUUGUUGGUGUUGGAUUAUGGGUCUCACUUAGCACGUGGUGUACGCAUCUAAGAUCAUAAACACAUAUUCUGUGUAACCAUAAACCUCAGUAGUAAUAGCUGAGAGUCUCAAGGGUUACUUUGGUGGAAUGAAACGUGAUGGAGAAAGUAGAUGAGAUGGUUGAAGAACCGAAAGUACCUCUGCUAUAUAAGAGUGACAAAGCAGAAAACUCUUAACUCAUAUGAGAAGAGUAAGGUAGCUCGUGACUUGAGUGAAUUUAGCUGCCUGAUUGGGAAGAAACGAUUGGUAUAAAUCUAAUCAUUAAGGCUUUACACAGAGUCUUAGAGGCUUCGGUCUACAUACAACAACAUGCUUCUAAGGACACCUAACUAGUGCAUGGAAAAAUAUAUUACACCUGCCCUUGCUUCACUGCAUGUACCUUCUGUGUUCUUGAGACCUAAGAAAGAAAAGAAACCACACGAAAUACAAGAAGAAAAUAUUUUUGAAUUUUUGUAAUUUCUGAAAAAAGAGUAAAAACAGUAAAGAAAAUAUUUUUGUAAUUUUAAAAUUUCUGAAAAAUAAAAAAUAAAAAAUAAAAAAUAAAAAAUAAAAUAUAUCAGAUAAAGAUAAAGGCUAAAGAAAGGCAUGCAAAAACAAUGAACAAAAUAUACAAGAUAUACACCCGAAACCUAACCUUAAAAAAGAUGAAGGGAAAUAGACCGAGCGUUCGGUUCAUUUCGGUUCCCUAAAAUUCCAGAGCCGAAAUAGACCGAGCGUUCGGUUCAUUUCGAUUCCCAAAAAUUACGGAGCUGAAAUAGACCGAGCGUUCGGUUCAUUUUGAUUCCCGAAAAUUCCGGAGCCGAAAUAGACCGAGCAUUCACUCUAUUUCCCUUGUCUAAUUUUUAAAGAGAUGUAAGGGGUUUCGGUAUCGACUCUGCUUCCAUCAUUCCCAAGCCUUGUAAUAUUCUAUUAAAACUUGCUUCUGGUAAGGCCUUGGUGAAGAUGUCAGCAAGUUGAUCAGAGGACCGAACGAAAUGAACUUCCACAUUGCCAUCUUCAAGAUGGUCCUUGAUGAAAUGGUAUCUCAGUGCAAUAUGUUUGGUCUUGGAGUGUUGCACUGGAUUAUGACAUAUCCUUAUCGCACUUUCUGAGUCACAGUAAAGGGGAAUCUUCUUCAUACUCAUUCCAUAAUCUCUAAGUUGGCUUUGUAUCCAAAUGAAUUGUGAUGUACACGAUGUUGCUGUGAUGUACUCAGCUUCGGUUGUUGAAAGAGACACACAGGUUUGCUUCUUCGACUGCCAACUAACAAGUUUGCCAUUAAGAAAUUGGCAUCCUCCAGUUGGGCUCUUUCGGUCCAGACCACAUCCACCAAGAUCUGCGUCAGAAAAGGCUUGAACAAAGAAUCCGGAUUUAGCUGGAUACCAGAGACCGAGAGACUAGGUUCGCUUCAGAUACAUGAAGAUAUUCUUCAUAACAAUCAUAUGAUGUUCUCUAGGGUUAGCUUGGAACCUAUCACAAUAACACACAGAGAACAUAAUAUCUGGUCUACUGGCUGUUAAAUACAUAAGAGACCCUAUCAUUUGACGAUAGAGUUUUACAUCAACAGCCGUUUUAUCCAGAGAUGGUGUAAGCUUUGUGCCAAACGCCAUGGGAACCUUCACUUUAGAAUCUCCCAUCAUGUCGAACUUCGCCAACAGGGUCUUGGUGUAAGCCUCCUGGUUAAUAAAUAUGCCUUCUGGUCCCUGUCUAAUGUUCAGUCCAAGGAAAAAGUUAAUUGGACCCAUUGCGCGCAUUUCAAACUUAGUCUCCAUCAACUUCCUGAAUUCAGCUGUUAAGUUAGGAUUCGUGAAGCCGAAGAUGAUGUCAUCAACAUAAAUUUGAACUAUCAUUAAGUGUUUGCCUUCUUUCUUGCGAAAGAAGGUUAGGUCAACCGAACCUUGUUUAAACUUUGACAUUUUGAGAAAAUCAGUUAGAGUUUCAUACCAUGCUCUCGGUUCUUGCUUCAGACCGUAUACCGCUUUAUCCAGAACAUAACAUGAACAGGAAACUUCUCGUUCACAAAACCGGGUGGUUGCUCAACGUGCACCGUUUCUUCUAGUUCUCCAUUCAAGAAAGCGCAUUUUACAUCCAUUUGGAAAACUUCGAAGUUUUUAUGUGCACCGUAUGCCACAAAGAUUCUUACAGAUUCCAACCUUGCUACAGGAACAAAGGUCUCCUCAUAGUUUAUUCCUUCUUCCUAACAAUAUCCUUUCACCACUAGUCUCGCUUUGUUGCGAAUGACGUUUCCCUCUUUAUCUAGCUUAUUCCUGAAGACCCAUUUCAAACCAACCACCGAUGCAUCCUUAAGUGUGGGAAUCAACCUCCAAACGCAAUUAUGUUCAAACUCAUGGAGUUCGUCUUGCAUCGCUUGUACCUAAUCAGAGUGAUAAAGGGCAGCAUUGACCGUUUUCGGUUCAAUCUUGGAGACAAACGGAUUGAACAUGCAAUAUUCAACUUAUGAGAAUAGAGCAGUUUGUUUCGCUUUAAGUUGGGAGCAUGUUAGAACCCGCUCAGAUGAGUCACCAAUUAUUUGUGUUUUAGGAUGAUCCUUUGUCCAUUUGGUAAGAGGAGGGUAGUUUGGGUCAUAAACAGGAUCUAACUCAACAUUUACUUCAUCUUCAAGUUCUGAUUGUUCACCUUCGUCAUUUGCAUUCUCAUUCUCCCCCACAAAUGGCGAAGCGUGUUCCAUAUCAGGUUCAGGACUCUCCCCCUCGGUUGAACCAUCAUUGGUUGGGGUAAGAGUUGGAUUCUCCCCCUCGAAAGGCAUUUCGGUUGUUUUAGAAACUAAUGAACCCUCCCCCUUGAAUGUUGAACUAUCACUUGGAGGGUCAUUUGUGGGUUGAGUUUCGGUUCGUGUAGGAUGAUCACCUUCCAUUUCCUUUGCAGAAUCAUCGAUGAUCUUUUUCAAGUUGUCGAUGUUGUUAUUUGCUGCUUUCGCUUAUGAGUGUAUUGCCUUCUCUGGUUCAUCAAAAAGUAACAUAUACUCUUCAAACAAAUUGGAGAUAGGAACAGAGACUUGACCUGAUUCUUGAAAAAUGUCUUCAACAGAACUUUCGCUUGUUUGAAUCUUCUUCAUAUAAUUAUCAUCAAAAGUCACAUAGUACGUUUCUUCAAUCUUCAUGGAGCAUUUAUUCAGAACCCUAUAUGCCUUCGAUGUAAGCGAAUAGCCAAGAAAUAUCCCCUCGUAUGCUUUGACGUCAAACUUGUUUCGGUUCUCUUUGGAGUUGAAAAUGAAGCAUCUAGAACCGAAAACGUGGAAAAACUUCACAUUGGGCUUACGAUUGUUCAGAAUCUCGUAUGGAGUUAUUGAGAAUCGCUUGUUGAGGAAAGAUCGGUUCUAAGUGUAGCAUGCAGUUGCAAUGGCAUCAGCCCAAAAAUAAAGUGGAAGAGAGGCGAAGCUCAACAUUGUUCGGGCUGCUUCACAUAAGGAACGAUUUCGCCUUUCAACGAUCCCGUUCUGCUGUGGAGCAUAAGGAGCAGAAAAGUUGUGAGUUACUCCCUUUUCAGCCAGAAAACCUUCAAACUCUUUAUUCUUGAACUCAAGCCCAUUGUCGCUUCUUAUGUUCCGCGCCACCUUUCGCAGUUGCAGUUCCACUUGCUUGAUGAAUGCUUUUAACUUUGGAGUUGCCUCAGAUUUCUGUUUAAGAAAGAAAACCCAGGUGAAGCAUGAAAAUUCAUCUACUAUUACAAGAAUGAACUUACUACCACCGAUGCUUUCAAUAGCCGAAGGCCUACACAAGUCGAUAUGCAGAAGUUCAAGCGAUUUGAUGAUCUUUAUGUUGAUACGAGUAGGAUGGCUCUUUCUGCAUUGCUUGCCCAUCUCGCAUGUUGCACAUACAUGUUCCUUAUCAAACUUGAAAAGAGGAAGACCUCGAACAUGAUCACCAAGCACAAGUUUAUUAAUGUCAUUGAAGUUCAGAUGUGAAAGUCGUAGGUGCCACAACCAGCUUUCGUCAGAUUUCGCCUUCGUCAGCAGACAUAUAACAGGUUUAGCCCGAAUUGGGUUGAGAUUGAGAGGAUAUAUCUCUCCCUUGAGUUCAAAAUUUAACAUAACCUUUUUUUUUGCUUUUUAAUUAUUUAUGAGCCCUCGUCAUCGAACGAAACUUUCAAACCAGUUCCUACAACUAGUUGAGAAACGCUGAUGAGGUUGUGCUGCAACCCUUCCACGUAAGACACUUUUCUUAUUGAGAAUUCUCCAUUGGUAAUCAUUCCAUACCCUUUGAUCGUUCCAUAAGAGUUAUUUCCAUACUUGAAACAACCACAUCUUUAAGGGAUCGAAACUCCCUUAAUUCUUCCCUCCUUCUUGUCAUGUGACAAGAGCAGCCACUGUCUAUGUACCAUUCCUCAUCGAACUGCUCGUCACUUAUCACCUGCAAAUUCAUGCAGAUUUAGGAACCCAAAGUCUCUUGGGCCCUAGUGAGUCUUUUACAGAAAAGGGAAUAGCAACAAAAAGAUCAACCAAAUAUGUUCGUUUAAUCAAAGUGGUUUCAUCUUUUCUUUUUAUUGUAUAUACUUUGAUUUUAUUUUUAUCUUGUUUUAGUUGUGGUGUGUCAGUUGGUUUCUUGUUAGAUGGUUUUUCAGUCCUAGGGUUAGUUGACUUUUUCUUAUCAUUGACUUGAGAAUUCGAAACCAUCUUUCUCUUUCCUUUGAUAUCCUUCUCAGAGUUUGUCUUUGGUUGAGAGUGAGGAAAAUGGGUUUUAUGAACGAAACCAGAUGUUCGGUUCUGAACUUUGGAGUUAGGACCAACACUAGGCUUUCGGUUCUGAACCUUUGAGUUGGGACCGAAAUUUAUUUUUGGUUCAUUUGACUGCUAGGUUUGUGGUGAUUGUGUGAAGGCGAUUUGUCACACGAUUUGACAUUAGUCUCUUUCUUGGUUGGGAGAAAGUCAGGAUUUUGUGACUGCCAAAACUGUUUUCUCUCAUUUAGGUUCUUCAUGUAUCUUCGGUUCCUUUGGUGUUUUUGUUCGGCCAGUUGCUCUUGAGAUUUAUGAAUGUUGUAUCUUGGUUUUGGUUUCUCUUUUUGAGCUUCGGUUGUCUUGGAAGAUACAUUUGAUUCCUUCCUUGGUUCUUCUGGUAUCUCUUUUGUUCCACUCGAGCUUGGUUUGUCAAAACUUGAGGGAUUGUUGAUAGGUUCAGCAACGUAUCUACCCUUUACCCUGCAUGAGGUUCACUCUGAUAAACUGAAGGUUUCGUCUGCAUUAUCGAUAGGGGCAGACCAGAAGUAAUCAUCGCACCCUUUAGCGUUAUCUUUGUCGACCAUGGUUUUCAGCUAUGCCAUUUGUUUCUUGGUGACACCUUCAACAACAUAUACUUGAUUUGGCACCGUUUGAACUUUCUGAUAGACAACCACCUUUUCUUUGAGUUUUUUUGAUUUGUCCUUUGACAGGUGAGCAUAUUUAGCCGAGUUUUCAGAUAUGAGGGCUUUUUCAUUCUCGGUUUCACUCUUCAAAUAUUCAGAACAAUCAACCAUAUCAUCCACUGAGAUUUCGCUAAUCUCACUUUCCUCAUCAAAUUCAUACAUGUUUUCUACAUUCAUUUUAUGUUCUGAACUUAAUUUGGUAUUUUAAGAGUGAAAUGUUUGUAUGGUCUCGGACUUAAUUUUCAACCUAUCAUUUUCAUCCACAAGAUUCUUAAGCAUGCAUUUAUGUUCCUUGGAGUCAAUAAAGGUCUCAAUUUUGUCCAGUCCGAUUUUGUACGCGAUGGAAGUCUCAUCUGAGGACAUUAUAGAUUCACACUCAGUAAUGACCUCAUCCUCCUUAAAUUCAAGGAAGGGUAAAAUCAUCUUAUGAAUCUUUUUCCCUAUUUCACAAUCUAAGUGCAACUAAGUAAUAUUCAUAUAUAAACGUUUUUCAAUUAAACAAAAAAACAUUAUGUUGCUUUAAAAACUUUAAAUUGUCUCGUUGUAAAUAAAUAAGUUCGUCCCUAGCUCUAACUAACUCCGCCUCCUUCAGCUCUAUCCACAUCCUUCUCUCCUCACUCUUCGAAGACGUCCUGCUAAGUUGGUCGGUUAAGUUAGAGUUCGUUAAGUGAGUUUGCAUAAGACUACCACUUAAGUUAGAAAAGUUGAAUUUUAAUUCAUUUAAUUCUUUUUCGUAAUCUGUUACCGGUAUUUUAAGAGAUUCAAGGAUGGAUUGUACCUUCUUGAUCAACUGAUCACAGUCGUUAAUCCUUUCACUGACAGGCUUGGAUGCAAAGCAUUUAUCUUCAUACACGUUCGGUUCCUCAUGCUUACUUUCGGUCGACACUCCAGUAGUUACCAUCAAGAAUUUCCCAGCUGACUUACCAUCCUCCUCUCUUGCCACAAAAGCUCUUCCAUGUGCGGCUUUUCUCACCUCUUCAUCCUCAGGAUCUGUGGACCAAACUCCGACACCACUGAACUCAUCUUCAUCAAGGUUUUCAUGCACAAUCAAGGCGUUCAUAGGACUAUUACUUACCUUCUUUUUCUUUAUUUAUUCAAGCUUUCGCAUGUAGUAUGCUUCGUCAUCUUCACCAUCCCUUUUUCUCAACCAUCUUCCUCAUCAUACAAUCCUUGGCAAAGUGGUUCUUGCCAUGACAAUAGUUGCAAUCGUACCCUGAGUCUCCCACAAGCCCGCUUUCCUUCUUUUCAUCUUCCUUCUGAGAAAUGUUCUUUGUCUCUUCCUUCACCUUCUCUGAACUAUAGCUUCCUUGCCAGUUUCGGUUCUUAUUGACAGGGAAUUUCUUUCGAGCAAACUUCUUUGGGUUUGUGACCAUCAUUGCGUAUUCUUCACUAGUUAGAUCACAUUCUGACAUGUCAGAUUCUUCCUCUUCGUCUACCACACUUUUUCUUUUAGAAACAAGAGCCAAUGAUCCCACACCCGAAACUACCUUUGCUUCUUUUGUCAUCGUGCUUUCAUGAGAUUUCAAAAUACCCAUUAGUUUUGCCAAUGAAUAUGUUUUAAAUUGUUCACGAGCCUUCACAGUUGAGACUACUGCCAUCAACUCGGGUCUCAGGCCAUUCAUGAACGUAACUUUCUGUUCAAUACCUUUUCUUUCAAUCAUCUUGCUAAGCAGAUGAUUGUAACGGUCGAACGUUUGAAGUAGUUUCUCUUCAGGUUUUUGUGCAAAAGCUCUAAACUCAUAAAGUAAUAAGGUUUGGAUCGAGUGCUCUAGAUCCUCGUUGGUUGAAUAUAAUUAUUUUAACCUGUCCCAUAUCUCUUUAGCGGUAGUGCACGCACUUACCAGACGAAAAGUGUCGGCUUGUAAGGCAAAUCUGAUCAUCCUCAAAGCUUUGAUAUUGCAUAACAGCUUGUCUUUCUCGUCUUGAGGGAUCUUCUCAACGUCCACUAGGAGUUUAUUAUACUCUUUUUGAGUCAUUACUGUUCUAUUCGUUCUAGAGUGAACAAACGAACCCAACGUGAUUGCUUCCCAGAUGAGAUAACCAUUGUCUUCAGAUCCAACUACGUAAUCUUCAAAGUGAUGUACCCAUACUUCAUAGUCUUGAGUGUAAAGAAUGGGAUUCCUUGUAGUGGAUCCAAUGCUAUUGGAUGGGAUUUGUUUGAGAGUCGUCGUGAGACAUGAUGAGCCUUUCCUUAGUACUGCUAGAAUCAGACCUGUAAACUUGAGAUUAGGGUUUUAUCAAACACAAGAGUUACCGUCGACAGGAAGAAGACGACUUCUAUAUAUUCGAUAAAAGCGGGAACCCUAAUGAGUUCUUCAAAUAGAAGGAAUGCUCUGAUACCACUUGUUGAGCAUCAACGCUACCGGUUGAUCUAAAACCAAUUGGUGUUAGAAAGGGUGCAACAUUACCCAUAUAGCGCAUUCAGCUCUCCAGGACUAGGCGUUCUAUUGCGGCACUCUAGGCCAUCGUACGAGGACUUGGUUGAUGGCAUUUCUGACCCCCAACAAUCCCCCCCCCCUUAGAAAUUGCUCCCUGAGAGAAUAGAACCCUAGCCACUGGCUCUGAUACCAAUUGUUAGAACAAUAUUCUAGUAUGAUAGAUAGAUUCUAAACAGAAGAAUCAGAACAGUAAUGUAAAUAACACAAGAAUGGAUCAAACGUUGUCGAAUGAUUAAACUUUAACACCUCGGAAGAGCUCGAUUAAGAACUUUGACUGUAGAGGUGUUUAGGGUUACAAUAAUGUUAUUAAUGAGAACGAUAAUCUUUACGCUAUACAUGCAUGCUUUAUAAAUAGCUUAAACCUAAUCAAUGAUCACGGAUGGACAGGCCCAAUCCGGAUAUAGAAAAUAGUAAGCCCAAUGACGCAACAUCAAAAUACCCGACAAAUUCCAUCAGAUCUGGGAUCAUUAAGGGUUGUUAUUGUUGGAUUAAUGUCUAAGUCCAUAACUAUAAUUAGUAAGACUUGACCUGACCCGGCAUGGUCCAUUUGGGUUGCAUGGCAUCAUGCAUUUGGAUAGACUAAAAUGAGAGAAAUAACACUUGAAGUUGGUUAAUAUAUUAUAAGUUCUAAUAUAUUAAUAAGAUUAUUUAAUUAGUAUUGAUCAAGAAUUAAUCUAGAAUUAAUUAAGUGAUCAAAAGAAGACUAAUUAAAUAUAUGGGUUGAUUGUGUAAAUCAUCCAUACUUGUAUAGUGGGCUAAUGCUCCAUGGAUUGUCAAGUUGGGCUAAAACCCAUAAGAUGCUCCAUGGAAUAUUUGUACCCAUGGAUCAUGGAAAUGAAAGGCCAUGACAAUUAGGGUUUACAUGGUGUAACCCUAACUAUAUAAUGAUCUUAUUCUUGGNACCAAAAUCGGCCACUAGUGUGUGUGAAAAAGGGCUAGCCGAUUUUCAAGAAGUGUUCAAGUUUCUCUCUAAGUCUUUCUAAGUGUAUUUGGUGUUGUGUGAACCAUUUGAGGUGUCACACUUGGGGCACUAGGCACUCAAGCUUCAUGAAGACAAUCUACACCAAAAGGUAUGUAAUUCUAACUUGUUAUAUUCAUAUGAAUCAAUGUUAUUAUGCUAGUUAGGAUGAAUACCUUGGAAAGUUCAUAUUUAUAUGUAUUGAUGGGUUUUAGCCAUAAGAACAUCCUAUGUGCUCAUGCAAACCCUAAUGCUUGGAUCUAGGUUUCUCUAUUGUACAUGCAAUUCAUCCAAGACUUUAAACCCUAGAUCUAGCAUACAAUUAAUCAUAUUAACAUAUGAAUGGGGUUUAGAUCUUACCUUGAUUGUUAUGUAGCAAUAACAAUCUCAAAUCCUCCUUGUAAUGACUUUAGAAAGCUUAGAGUCACAAUUGUCACUCCUCUAAUGGCUCACAAACACCAAGAGCAAGAGGAUGAAGAAUAAGGAGAGAGGAUGUUGCCCAAACGUCCAGAAACCCUAGUGGAACUCUUGGCCAAGUUUUUGGAGCUUAAGGGUACUAUAUGUACAUGUAGGCUAUUAGGGUUCUCAACUAGGAAACCCUAAUCUGACUGCUUAAGCCCUAAGCAGCCCAUGGACCAUUUUAGAAUAUCCCUUGGACGAUUUCUAAUGGGUUUCCCCAUAGAAUUCGUCCAACCUAUUAUUCCAAGGUGAUCCAUAGCCCAAAUGCAAUUAUCUUAUAAUUACAAUUCUAGUCCCUUAAGUUUAAUUAAUCUCUUUUAGCCACAAAACUAAUUAUCAAUUAAUUAUUGACUAAUAUUAAUUAAACAAUAUGAUUUCUCCUUUAAUAUAUUACUCUCAUAAUAUAUUAAUAAAUCAUAAUUAAUCCUCUCUCUCCACAAUUCAUCAUAUCAAGUUGCUUUGGUGAAGGCAACCCAAAAGGACCAUGCACCAUCGGGUCAAGUACAUACCAAAAUAGUUAUGGACUUAGACACUAAUCCAACAAUCUCCCACUUGGAUAAGUCUAAUAACUAUUAUGCGUAUGACUUCAGAUCCUGAUCUGCAAUCGUAGCUUUCCAAAGCCNAAGCCGCUGUCAACUCUGAUCUUAUCAAAUUCGCGUGUCCUUUAGAUAGGGGAUCAUAUAUUCCUCCAUUCUUGAUAUCAUAUAGACUUGAGACAUGAAUUCGAAUCAUUCUCUCUAUACUGUUUCCCGACUUCCGAUUUAUGACGACUGACAACAGACUACAAUUGAACACAUCAAAUUUGUCUCGGCUUGGCCAAGCGCUUAGGUGUCAUCACCAAAUCAUUGAGGGGCCCAAAGAUAUUUCUUUUAUCCUACUUUGGAUAAAAGUAAUGGAUAAAAUUUGAUUCAAUUCUUGCUUGCACUCACUUACCGAAUCACACACAACAAUAUGUUUUAUAACACCAAAUUACUGGUGCGUUUACAUAUUAUCAAUGUGUAACCAACUCGCAAGAUACAACUCACACAUCUCGGUUUCAAGAAUAUAAGAUGUUAUCGUCUCACCAAUCACUCGUGAUACAAUUCAUGAAGUGAUCCAAGUUAGCGUGGGUUUAAUCCAAUGCUCAAAUCAUAUUCAUAAGCACUCAUGAACGUUGCAACAAACAUUUGUUGUCUAAUACACUUUAGACAAUCCACACACAAAUUCACGACAGUUUUCACUCAUACCUACUUCCAACAUAUGAACGACUGUUGUCCGUUCGAAUAAUUUGAUUAUUCUAAAAAUAAUUAUUCAGGAAGUCAAAACAUGCAAAGUGAAACACAAGAAUAAUACUAAUCCCGUAUGGCCCCAAACUCUGGGUAUAAAUAAAACAUUUUAUUUAAUCACCAUAUUGAUUACUCAUUAUUUGUUGUUUCGGGUAAUCAACUUCUUACUUGAAUUAUUACUACACUUGUCCCAUGCUCUUAGCAUGCACACAAUGUUUACCUACGGUCCUUACUUUGUGAAAUAGAUCAAAUGAACACAUUUCCAAUCAUACUCAUUUCACAACUCCCAAUCCUUUUCACAAGUGAAAGAAUAUCAAAUUCUUGCCACUUAUAGAAUAUGCUAGAUUCUAACAUUUUAUGCAAUGAUCCUUUUGUAAUGUCAUAGCACAAAAAUCACAAUGACUACUGCUAAUGAAAUUACAAAGUUCUCUAUUUGUGAUUGUUACAAUACAAUUCCAUAGACGUGAUGUCUCUCACUCAAAGUACAUUCUUUUGAACAUCCUUUUGCAUAAAAUUUUCUAAUCUAGACGUAGACUCUCAAUAUCUAACUCUUAAUAUGGAAACAUUUCCAUAUUUGCCAUAUGACAACUCAUUCUUAAUAGAAUCUUAUCUAUUCAUAAUAAUGUCGAUAUGGUCCAUCCUAUACCAUACUUCCAACUACUCACAAGCGACCAAUCCUCAGCGAGCUUUGGAUCGUCCUUUGAUAGUUGUUUAAUUAUCUUAGUCAAAACCGAUUCUUGUCCUUUUUCCCUCUAAAUGCGCUAGACAUUUGGAAAAUUUUAGAAUGGUCAAAUAUUAUAGCACUUGCAAUCGAUCCUAUACCCGAAGCGUAUGAGACACGAUGCAUAGUGUCUUAGAUAAAGAUCUGAUACUUUAUCAAUCUUUUGCCAUAAUAUUUUAUGUGUCACGUUUUAACAAUUCGAACUAUGAAGAGGGAUGCCAUGAUCAUAAUCGAAAUUUUGAGAACGCACUAUGUAUCCUUGACUAAAUUUAUUAACAUUCCACAACCUAAGCCUUUAGAUUUGAAAUGAAGCAUAAUAUUCUCUCCCUUAAUUAUAGCAAAACAACUAUUCAACCCUUACGACUUUGCAAAGUAUAACUCUUGUUUUCUAUAAUUAAUAUUGCUAACUUGCAAUACUUGCUUUAAUANUUAAAUAAUCAUACAAGCAUAACAUUUAUGCUCCCACUAUCAUGAUGAUUAUUACAAGCAUAACACUUAUGCUCCCACUAGCUUUGACAUGUAUUUAGAAAUAUAGCUUAACUUUCAGAAAACAAUUCUAGUUGAAUUUCUUAAGUUCAUAUUUGUAAUACCUAAUGCUUUGAUAAUCCUUUAUCUAAGCUUAUACACCUUUUCCUUAGAUAGCUCAUAUGUGUGUCUAAACAAUUCAGACUAAUUGCCAAAUCUCACAAUUCGAAUCAUGGAAAGGGAUACCGUAACCAUAAUCGAAUUCGAGAAUACAAUUUCACAAUCACUAUCUUCUUAAAAUCUCUCUUAGUGAAAGCAUUUCCUCACAGUCAUUUUCAUGAAGGAGGGAAUCUUAUGACACUUAGAUUUUAAUGGUGUAUGUGUUCCUAUCCAUGCGAAUUUGUCAAAACCAAAGUUUGCGACAAAUCCAAACUCAUAUGGACCGAACUUUCUCAAUCUUGAUUUCUUGCCUUAUGGUAACACGAGUGUCCACCAUGUCUUCCAAGUAGUUAAGCAGCUCACCCUUUCCUAUCAAUGUACUUUCCAUUGAUCAAGGUGCUUGCAUUUUAUGCAUUCAAAUGAGAACUCAUAGAAUUCACAUGCAUAAUUAACUCAAUUGGAACGAUCACAAAAACAAGAUAGUGUCGACACGAUAGGUUGUGAACCUCAAGUCGUGUGCUAGUGAUGAUCGAUAAGGUUUAUUCUUGAUUUGUUCUUGAAACCUUUCAAGACCAUUGAGACUCCCACUGACUCCUUGACAUAUAAGAUUCUCUUGUCAAUAAACAUUUCUUGACAAACAAAUAUUCAAGAGUUAGUGUAGCUUUUAUCAAGACAAAACACUUCACAAAAUUGGUCCUAGUUGGUCUUUGNGUGCAGUAAUAAGAAAACCUUUUUCAAAUUCCACAUUUGAUGAAUGUUAUAAACCUUCUUAAGACUUGUUACUCAAUGUCACAAUCUUAACUCUAAGACUUGUUUUGGAACGAAGUAUGAUUGACUUCUUGAUUUAACCAUUUCUUCAAUUCUUGAUUCUUCUUCUCAAACAUACAAUUGUACUAAGACUCACUUAGCGGAUCAAUUGAGAUAUGGUUCUUAAUCAUUAAGACCUAUCAUAAAACAUAAUAAAAGGUACUCUCCCUUCUUCUUAGAAUGGAGAAACUUUUAUUUUUCUGCCUACUUGAUUCUUCUUAUCCGUUCUGCUAUUGAUUGAAACUCUUUCAAUCAACUCAAAAUUACACUUAAUCUUAUAAGUAUAAUCAUAUUUACUAAACCUUUAGUAAAUCAUGAAGAAUAUCUUUGUCACUCUUGUGGUGGACUUGAUCAACACACAACUUUCUGUACUCGAUCUCCUAGUCAUUCACUUGACACUUUGUCAACGAAUUAGUCUAAUUUCCAAAUAUGAAAUUUCUCAUUCAUCAUGCAACCAAGUUGCAUGAUUCCAAGUUUAUGUCCAAUUGAAACUUGGGCGAUGAGAAACUCUCCCUAUUUGGUAAAUUCUUGACAUUUCCACAAAUAACAUAAUUAAGAAUCAAAUUCAUUAUUGCUAAAACCUUCAAACAUCAAUUUUUCAUACACGCCAUUGCAAGGAAAAACAAAUAAUAUAAAAUGAAAAUUUAUUUUAUUGCGGAAAACUUGUCCUUACAAUGCAAUUCAUUGAAAACUAUGUUAAUACAUAUCUCUUAGCAAUCUUAUUCUAACUCUAAGUAGUAGCUCAAGAAUCCAAUCUUCAAGCAAUGCGAUCAAAAUCCAUUUCUUCACGAUUAAAUUCCGCUCACUUCUUCCCUUAAGCUUCCUCUCUUUUCUUUGAUCCUACAAAACAUCAAUUGCAAUCUUAUCACAUCAUGUAUUAAGAUUCUAUAAUAGGAACUUAAAAGAGUUAGUUAAUGGAUUUUACCUAAAGCAGAGCCAUACGCUUUGACUCUCCCAUCUCUUACAUCUCUUAGGUAAAUAGGGCAGCUUUGUCUCCAAUGCCCCUUCUCUUGGCAAUAGAAGCAAAUUGACUCUUUUGGAACAGCACGGGGAACUAAUUCAGACUUUGCCUUUCUCUUAUGAUCAAACUUUUUGACCAUGGCAUGCCUUUUGUUGCCAUUGCCUAUAUCCAUAGAGGUCUGGAAGGCAAAUUCACCAAUCAACUUUGCUUUUCCAUUGCGCCAAACCAUUGCUGAUUCAGCAGCAAUAAGCAUGUAGGUGAGAUCUAUAAGGGUCACGUCAUGGUUAAUCAUAUAGUACUCUCUUACGAACUCACUAUAUGAGUUAGGAAGUGACUGAAGAACCCAGUCAACAGCCAGCUCCUCACAGACAACGGAUCCCAACAUUCUAAAACUAUCAAUGUGUGACUUCAUCUCUAGGACGUGUGCACACACCGACUUUCCUUCUUCAUGUUUACUUGCCAAAAGGGCUUGAGUAAGCUUGAACUUUUCAAGCCUUCGAACUUGUGAGUUAGGGAGAAUAAUUGGAGGAGGUGGAGGAAGUAAAGCAUGAUCUCUUGUUCCUUGAUCGAAUCGUGGAAUAUCAUCUUCAUGUGGAAAGCUUGUUCCACGGGAUUUGGGAAUACCAUAGUUGUCGUACUUUGACAUCUACAAAACGGGAGAAAAAAUUCAAGUUAAGUUGAUUGAUUGAGUCCUUAAUAAAUCACCCAAAUGAGAUACUAAGGCUAGGACCCCAACACAAUAUUCCGCAACUUGGGAGAGGGAUGUUGUAACCCAAAUUGCAGAACAUUUGAAGGUAAGUGAAUGACGAUUCACUAAUUUUCCACCAUGAAAAAAUGAAAAACAGAUUAAGUUUUAAAUGUUUUUGAAAACUCCUAGAUCCUUUGAGAUUCAUUGAACUUUUCAAUCGCAUGUUUAAAUCUUGAUAUGCCCCUCGAUUUGUGACUGGUAUGCCGAGGAUCACAAAACAGCGUGUGAAUAACCAUGCAAACUUACAUGGUGCCCCCACAUGUUACAGUCACCUAUUCGAUGUACCGGUUAACCACACACGCUCCACCGAACUAUGACAAACAUUGAGUCACCCUUUGCUACCUUUUCUUAGAACCAUUUAGUGUGCCGGUUAACCACACACGCUCCACUAACUUCUUCGCAAGGGCAUAAAGUGUAAUUUCAUGGAAUUGCAUCAAUUCACUUUUGCCUAAAGUAACUAAGAUUGGGAAUUUGUAAAACAUUUAGUUACUUUUGUACUUCAUUAUACUUAUAAUGGAAGGUUUCUGUCCUAUCCUACCCGUUCGGCUAACGACCCUCCACUAGUCAAGAGUGCGGUGGGUAAGAGUGGAUACCCAUUCAAUCGCCAUUUUAUAGGCAAUUUCCUUAAACACCCCUUAUAGACCAGCUUCGUGAAUGAGGCCUACUAACGGUAAGACUGACUUUUACUCAUACAUAUAUAUAAUAUUAGACUUUUAAUGUUAUAUAUAGUAUAGGGUGUAUUUUACACUUUUAAAAUACUAGGUGGUCAAAUUUAAUAAUUAUACUUUUAAUUUAAUUAAAUUGUAAACCAAAACUUUAUGGAUUUAUUAAAUCUCUUUUAAUUAUACACUUUAAUUAAUUAAUAAAACCAUAAGGGUGUGAUUUGAACUUUUCAAAACAAUACUAGGGUUUUAGAAUUUAACAUUUCUAAAUUAACUUUUAAUCAACUUUUAAAUUCAAAAACUUGAGGGCAAGUUUUGAAACAUUUCAAAACAUUAGGGUUUUAACUAUUUAAAUUUCAUAACAAAAUCUUUAAGUUCAAAUUUAAACCAUAAAACUUACAUGGGCACAAUUGAAACUUUUUCACAACACAAGGAUCAAAUAACAAAUAAUAGAAAUUAAACAAUUAAUUUUGUCAUUAUCUAUAUUUGACCUAAUCCCAUAAGAUAAUUACCAAAUAAUUUAAAUAAGGGUUUAGGUCAUUUUUGGUCACUUAACUUUUGUUUUUGUGCUCAUUUGGUCACUUAACUCUUUUUAAGUUUUAAAAGGUCAUUAAACUUUUGGCUUUCUGCUCAUUUAGUCACUUAACUUUUGGUUUGGUUAGAUUUAGUCACCUAACUUUUAAAAUUGUGCUCAUUUAGUCACUAAACUUUUAAAUUUUUUCAAAAGUUUAGUGACUAAAUGAGCACAAUUUUAAAAGUUAGGUGACUAAAUGAUCACAAAUCUAAAAGUUAAGUGACCAAAUCAAAAGUUAAGUGACUAAAUGAGCACAAAAUCAAAAGUUUGAUGACCAUUUCAAACUUAAAAAGAGUUAAGUGACCAAAUGAGCAUAAAACCAAAAGUUAAGUGACCAAAAAUGACCUAAACCCUUUAAAUAAUCCAUAUUUAUCAUAUAAUGAAACUAUUAUUCAAAAGAUUUGAAAUUAUCUUUUGUUUUAUGAAGGAUAAUCAUCCAAAUACAAUAAAAAUCAGAUUUUAUCAUAAAAAUACGUUUUUGGUAUUAAUCCUUCAGCAAAACAGCAAUAAAUCCCGAUAUUCCCUUUGUCUGACCCCUGGACUCGCCGAGUCAGGGACUGGACUCGCCGAGUCAGACAGACUCGCCGAGUUCAUCCAUUGACUCGCCGAGUCAGGUCGUGCAGAAGCCAAAAAAUCGAUUUUCAGUUAAUAAUUCAACAUAGCAUCACAUACAACAGAAACCAAUCAAGGCUCUGAUACCACUGAUGGGUUUUAGCCAUAAGAACAUCCUAUGUGCUCAUGCAAACCCUAAUGCUUGGAUCUAGGUUUCUCUAUUGUACAUGCAAUGUAUCCAAGACUUACAAUCUUAGAUCUAACAUAUUAUAAACUGAAAUUAGGGUUUAGAGAAUUACCUUUGAUUGUUAUGUAGCAAUAACAAUCUCAAAUCCUCCUUGUAAUGACUUUAGAAAGCUUAGAGUCACAAUUGUCACUCCUCUAAUGGCUCACAAACACCAAGAGCAAGAGGAUGAAGAAUAAGGAGAGAGGAGGCUGCCCAAAACGUCCAGAAACCCUAGUGGAACUCUCAGCCACGUUUUUGGGGCUUAAGGGUACUAUAUAUACAUGUAGGCUAUUAGGGUUUUCAACUAGGAAACCCUAAUCUGACUGCUUAAGCCCUAAGCAGCCCAUGGACCCUUUUAGAAUAACCCUUGGACGAUUUCUAAUGGGUUUCCCCAUAGAAUUCGUCCAACCUAUUAUUCCAAGGUGAUCCAUAGCCCAAAUGCAAUUAUCUUAUAAUUACAGUUCCAGUCCCUUAAGUUUAAUUAAUCUCUUUUAGCCACAAAAUUAAUUAUCAAUUAAUUCUUGACUAAUAUUAAUUAAACAAUAUGAUUUCUCCUUUAAUAUAUUAUUCUCAUAAUAUAUUAAUAAAUCAUAAUUAAUCCUUUCUCUCCAUAAUUCAUCCUAUCAAGUUGCUUUGGUGAAGGCAACCCAAAAGGACCAUGCACCAUCGGGUCAAGUACAUACCAAAAUAGUUAUGGACUUAGACACUAAUCCAACAUGUAUAAUAGAGAAAACAUAGAUCCAAGGUAUUUAGGGUUGCAUGUACACUUAGGAGUGUUAGAAUGCUUAAAACCCAACAGUGGUAUCAAAGCCUAGGCUUGUUUUCUUGUUAUACUUGCAAAAGUUGGCUAAAAAUCGAAGUUUUUUGCUGUCUGGGCAACAGACUCGUCGAGUCCAUCAAGAGACUCGACAAGUCCAUGCCUAAAAAGUGAGCAAAACUAUCCAACUCACCGAGUUGGUUCAUGCACUCGACGAGUUGGACCCCCAGACAACAUAUCUUCGACCUUUUUGGCUGGAAUUGGACUUGGAACAUUACCCUAAGAUGUUUUUGGACUUAUAAACUUGUUUUUGAUGUAGUAAUGUUCAUGCUAAUCCAAUUUCAAAGAUAUUUGUCAAUAGAAUCAUGAUUUGUAUUAGUUUAAUGGUUAGACUAAUUUCAUGAAAAAGUGUUUGACUUGAAAUAUCAUGUUCAUAUGAGUUGCUUAGAUUAAUAGGGAAGUUGUGUGAAACUGUUGUUUUCAAUCCAUUUUAAUCUAAGAGUAGAUUCUAAAAUGUGUUUGUGUAACUUGUCCUCAAGUUACAUGAAAAGUUACAUUAAAGUUUCUUAAAACUCAUAAAAAUCAUAAAAUGUGUUUGUGUAACUUGUCCUCAAGUUACAUGAAAAGUUACAUUAAAUAUCAUAUUCAUAUGAGUUGCUUAGAUUAAUAGGGAAGUUGUGUGAAUGUUUUUAUGACUCCAGAACUUGUCCUCAAGUUAUGGAGGUUUAAGAGUCACUUCAUUAAAAUAAAAAUGUGUAACCUUAAUUAGUUCCAUAAGUUAAAAAAAAAAGGAACAAGAGUUACAUUCUUUUAUUAGUUUAAAGUCUUCCAUAACUUGUCCUCAAGUUAUGGAACUUGGAGAGUUUUUUCAUUAAAGCUACUUUAAACACAUAAGUUAUGGAAUUAAUUAGUUUUGAAUAGUUUCAAAACUUGCCCUCGAGUUUUGGAAUCUGUAAAGUUUCCUCUCGAAUACUUUAAUUCCAAGUUAAGCCCUUAGAAUUUUAAAAGUUAAAAUUCAACCCUUAUACUUUAUAAUAUAAUAAGUUAAUUUUAUAUAUAUAUNNNNNNNNNNNNNNNNNNNNNNNNNNNNNNNNNNNNNNNNNNNNNNNNNNNNNNNNNNNNNNNNNNNNNNNNNNNNNNNNNNNNNNNNNNNNNNNNNNNNNNNNNNNNNNNNNNNNNNNNNNNNNNNNNNNNNNNNNNNNNNNNNNNNNNNNNNNNNNNNNNNNNNNNNNNNNNNNNNNNNNNNNNNNNNNNNNNNNNNNNNNNNNNNNNNNNNNNNNNNNNNNNNNNNNNNNNNNNNNNNNNNNNNNNNNNNNNNNNNNNNNNNNNNNNNNNNNNNNNNNNNNNNNNNNNNNNNNNNNNNNNNNNNNNNNNNNNNNNNNNNNNNNNNNNNNNNNNNNNNNNNNNNNNNNNNNNNNNNNNNNNNNNNCCAUGAAAUUACACUUUACACUUUGUUUAAGUCGUUAGUGGAGCGUGUGUGGUUAACCGGCACACUAACUUGGAUUUAACAAGGUAGGCAAAGGAUAACUUAUUGCUUAUCAUAGUGUCGAUGGAGCGUGUGUGGUUAACCGGCACAUCGAUUAAGGGGUAAACAUUUAAGGGUACCAAGUAAUUUGCAUGGUUACUUCACACCUUGUUUUGUGAUCCUCGACAUCCCAGUCACAAAACCUGAAGGGCACACUCGAGAUUGAAACAUGCCUUUGAAAAGUUCAAUGAAUCUCAA
This 37202-nucleotide long non-coding RNA is filed under the name Lactuca sativa (garden lettuce). RNAcentral describes it as "long non-coding RNA (LSAT_LNC000889)". The record is from RNAcentral. Lineage: Eukaryota; Viridiplantae; Streptophyta; Magnoliopsida; Asterales; Asteraceae.